RNAcentral lists this ribosomal RNA (494 nucleotides) under uncultured Lachnospiraceae bacterium. RNAcentral's name for it is "partial 16S ribosomal RNA". Lineage: Bacteria; Bacillati; Bacillota; Clostridia; Lachnospirales; Lachnospiraceae. The record is from RNAcentral.
CACGUAUUUAGCCGGGGCUUCUUAGUCAAGUACCGUCAUUUUCUUCCUUGCUGAUAGAAGUUUACAUACCGAAAUACUUCAUCCUUCACGCGGCGUCGCUGCAUCAGGGUUUCCCCCAUUGUGCAAUAUUCCCUACUGCUGCCUCCCGUAGGAGUUUGGGCCGUGUCUCAGUCCCAAUGUGGCCGAUCACUCUCUCAAGUCGGCUACUGAUCGUUGCCUUGGUGGGCCGUUACCCCUCCAACUAGCUAAUCAGACGCGGGUCCAUCUUGUACCACCGGAGUUUUUCACACUGUAUCAUGCGAUACUGUGCGCUUAUGCGGUAUUAGCAGUCGUUUCCAACUGUUAUCCCCCUGUACAAGGCAGGUUACCCACGCGUUACUCACCCGUCCGCCACUCAGUCACCUCAAUUGUUUCAAUCUCUAGCAAGCUAGGUCAAUCAACGGGAGAGGUGCUUCGUUCGACUUGCAUGUAUUAAGCACGCCGCCAGCGUUCAU